This 4130-nucleotide long non-coding RNA is filed under the name Homo sapiens (human). Its description in RNAcentral is "uncharacterized LOC105375026, transcript variant 2 (LOC105375026)". Lineage: Eukaryota; Metazoa; Chordata; Mammalia; Primates; Hominidae. The record is from RNAcentral.
GUCCACGCGCUGCGGCCUUGGAGUAACUGCUGUUCUUAAAGGCUGCCUCCGUCCUGCCGCGCGGCCUUUAGAGGGUUGGAGCUGGCAGAACCGUAACUCCCUCUCUGAGGGUGAAUACGGGCCUUGAUUGCCAGAAGGGCCCUCGGCCGGGGACGCGGGAUGAUGCGGGGCCGGGAGAUGCUUUCCUGGAGGCUGAGAAACCUGGAGGGAGACCCCCAAAACUUCUCAGUUCGCCGACCCCUUGGUCCCAGAGGGAGAGGAGCAUCCCCAAAGAACAUUCAAGUCUGAGCCUCAAGGAGCCUCUGCGACUCGGUGUCUAGAUCCAGGAAAUGGAGAAUGAGCCGUGACUUUGGAUGCUUCACUCUUGUCCAUCAGGCUCGGAAUUGGCCUGUUGAAGUAGGAGGCAGGACUCAACUUCAGACCAGAUUGAAGACUGGCUGACACAGAAGAGGCACCAAAAGCACCUCUCUCUCCAUAAGACAUGCCCACCAGUGCCAUGACAGUUUACCAUUGCUAUGGCAAUGCCCAGAAGUUCUCACCCCUUUUCCAGACAUUUCUGCAUAAUCUACCCCUCAAUUGGCAUGUGAUCAAAAGUGGGUGUCAAAAUGACUGUGGAACUGUCCCUGAGCUGCUACUCUUGACAUGCUGGUUACAGGGUAGCCCGGCUCUGCAGGGACAGUCACGGAGCUGAAAAACUGCUGCCUAAUGAAGCUGUUUUCUUCUACCACCGGCUCACCCUCAAAUUAUUUCCUGAGCGAACUCAAGAACCUUCCUGGGCUAAGCCCCAAUUUUGGGGCUCGCCUGCCCCUGCAUCACAGCUUCCUCUUCUGUUCACAGCUGCAACCGCCUACUCAACCUUCUGCGGUUCCUCUCCCUGCCCCUCCACAGUGGCUGCUGAUGGGAGCUCUGGCUCCCUGCGUUUUCACUAUCUCCCAGUCAAAUGCAGAGUCCCUGUGCAAUUUAAAUGCUUCUCAGCUAAGAACAGAGAAGGGGAUAGCAUAAGGAUAUUCAAAAGAUUCAAGAAAUCUCAAAAGUGAUCACAAAACAUUUGUCUCUGACCAACCAGAAACAUCGACGGGUGAGAAGGGCAUUUCCUCUAGCUGAAUUCUUCAUGGGUCUUCAGGCUCUGUUUUCACUUUGGAUUUUCUGGAGUCUCCUGAAGGUUACCUGAAAUCUUGUUGGUCCUGAAUAUUGUAUGUGGAGUCCCAAGCUGCAAGAAGUCAGUGGGGCUGGACGGGAGCCAAAAUCAGAGACUCAAGCAGCACAGCUGGGCCCCAUUGAAAGUGAGACCAGCUGUCCCAGUUGGAAGCUGGGGUAUAGAGCUGGGGAUGGGUGGAGGCAGUGACAGGCUCCAUGUAUUGGUCAUUCAGACUCCCCAGUAGCCUCAGGACCCAACUCCCACAGGUCAGAGAAGACCUGGUGGAGGGCCUUAUGCAAACCUCAGUGGGUGAUGCAGGAGGGAGUUUUCUGAGCAGGAAUGCCAACAAAAAAGGCCUUCAAAGGAAGGCCCUGCUUGGGACAAUCCUGCCUCUUUAUGGUCUGGUUCACAGGUUCCCCUGGGUGGGGUAAUGGAAUCCAAGCUAAGGUGUCUGACUUCAAAAGUUUUCAGAAAUGCCACUUUUGUAAGCAUCAGGGAUUGGGUUUUCUGAGAUGCAAAACAUCUUUGUUAAGGGGUUAAAGCAUCCUUAAGCUGUUUAGGUUUCUGGGGAUACAUAGACUUAGGAAGUUAGAGCAGGUGAAGUUGAGGGGGAUGGGAACUAAGAAUUAGCUCAAAAUAGUCACCAAUGCAGAAACCCAGGCACUUGGGACCCUGACAGUGGGGAAGGCAGAGGAGUAACUGUGGGGACUUGGGCACCCUAUUAGCAGAAUGGGGUAACAGAGAAGGCAAGAAUUGCUUCCCAGGAGACUGGGCUGGGAACAGGAAGGGGACUAAAAUGCUGUCCCUGGCUGAAGAGUGUGGAGGUAUAGAGGAGCUGGUAGCAGGGCUCUGAAUCCAUACACGAGAGCAAGGACCAGUGGUUUCAGGGUGGGAUAGGGCUUUGAUGUCUUCAUGGACUUAGGGUAAUAUUCACCACCAUGGUGAAUUCCACAAAGGAGAAUUCACACAAAGGUCUCGGACCAGCCAGUUUCCAUGUGAAAAAGCCAUCUGGGAGCAAGGGAACAAACCCAGGAAUACAACUGUAUUGGGGGAAAUUCAGCCAGACAUAGGGCAAAAUUCACCCCCAAUAUUUCAUGUAGGUUCUUUUCUAUUUUCCGUAAGUGUCGGCCGGUCUGAGAAAUAAAGGGACAGAGCUCAAAAGAGAGAAAUUUUAAAGCUGGGUGUCUGGGGGAGACAUCACAUGUCGGCAGGUUCCGUGAUGCCCCCCGAGCCGUAAAACCAGCAAGUUUUUAUUCGUGAUUUUCAAAAGGGGAGGGGGAGUGUAUGAAUAGGGUGUGGGUCACAGAGAUCACAUGCUUCACAAGAUAAUAAGAUAUCACAAGGCAAAUGGAGGCAGGGCGAGAUCACAGGACCACAGGACCGGGGCAAAAUUAAAAUUGCUAAUGAAGUUUCGGGCAUGCAUUUUCAUUGAUAACAUCUUAUCAGGAGACAGGGUCUGAGAGCAGACAACCGGUCUGACCAAAAUUUAUUAGGCGGGAAUUUCCUCGUCCUAAUAAGCCUGGGAGCGCUAUGGGAGACUGGGGCUUAUUUCAUCCCUACAGCUUUGACCAUAAAAGACGGCCGCCCCCCGAAGCGGCCAUUUCGGAGGCCUACCCUCAGGGACACAUUCUCUUUCUCAGGGAUGUUCCUUGCUGAGAAAAAAAAUUUAGCGAUAUUUCUCCCAUUUGUUUUUGAAAGAAGAAAAAUAUGGCUCUGUUCUGCCUGGCUCACCGGCAGUCAGAGUUUAAGGUUAUCUCUCUUGCUCCCUGAACAUUGCUGUUAUCCUGUUCUUUUUUCAAGGUGCCCAGAUUUCAUAUUGUUCAAACACACAUGCUCUACAAACAAUUUGUGCAGUUAACGCAAUCAUCACAGGGUCCUGAGGCGACAUACAUCCUCCUCAUUUUACAAAGAUGAUGGGAUUAAGAGAUUAAAGACAGGCAUAGGAAAUCACAAGGGUAUUGAUUGGGGAAGUGAUAAGUGUCCAUGAAAUCUUCACAAUUUAUGUUCAGAGAUUGCAGUAAAGACAGGCGUAAGAAAUUAUAAAAGUAUUAAUUUGGGGAACUAAUAAAUGUCCAUGAAAUCUUCACAAUCCACAAUUAUUCUGCCAUGGCUUCAGCCGGUCCCUCCAUUUGGGGUUCCUGACUUCCCGCAACACAAGUGGAGAGAGAGGUGGCCUGACAUUAUGGCUAAGUUGAUAUGGAAGCAUUCUGGUUUGUUCUAGAAAAAAUGAAAGAGGUGGUGCAGGUAAUCAUCAGCUCCUGGUUCUGUAGCAAGGCUUUUGCUGCAAUCCCAGGAGGUAGCAACCUAGGCUUUGGUUCUGAAAGAAGAGGGUCUACCUUCCUGAAUCAUUUUUAGGAGUCUGCUGAUGGCCAGGCUUGGUGAGUUGGACUCUGUAAGGAAUUUUUAUUUAAGUGAGGUCUGGGUAGGAAAAGAGAAGGGAAAAACUUGACCCUGCCUGCACCAAAGGAUUCUGGGAAGGAGAAUAAAGAGAAAAACCCUUCUUCAUGUUUCUGCUUCAGAGCAGGAGAACCAUCACAAGCUAAGUAAAGUCAAUGAAGGGCGAGUGGCCCUAUGGCCACCUGGGCACACACCUGCCCCUUGGCCACCUUGCAUAGGCAGGCUGAGGAGGUCACUAAGGCUUGGUUUUCCUGACCUGCCCUGAUUCCACAUGCUGUAAGGAGGACCCAGAAGGCUGUGUGGCUACAGAGGUGCCCAGCAUGGUGGGGGUCACUUCAGUGUGGACACUAGACUGGACCGCGUGGAACUACAACCAGCUCAGAGCGCCAGCCAGAGUGCUGUUCUGGCCAGAAGGAGGAGCCAAGACCCACACCCAGGAGGACAAUGAGCCCCUCUCUGCAGACAGGAGCCAGCCACACCUGGGGUCUGGGGAGACUCUUCCUGAUUCCAAAUGGGACUGAACUUUAAACCAGACUGGGCAUUUGAGCAAUUUUUUAAAAGCUGUCAACCAAAUAAAGGAAUGCCAUUUUCUUUA